UGGAUUAGAUACCCGGGUAGUCCUAGCAGUAAACGAUGUAGACUUGGCGUCGGUGGGUUUAAAGCCAUCGGUGCCGAAGCUAACGCGAUAAGUCUACCGCCUGGGGACUACGGCCGCAAGGUUAAAACUCAAAGGAAUUGACGGGGGCCCGCACAAGCAGCGGAGCGUGUGGUUUAAUUCGAUGCUACACGAAGAACCUUACCCGGGUUUGACAUGUGGGUGGUAGGGAUCCGAAAGGUGACCGACCCCUCGGGGAGCCCUCACAGGUGCUGCACGGCCGUCGCCAGCU
This 289-nucleotide ribosomal RNA is filed under the name uncultured bacterium. Its description in RNAcentral is "partial 16S ribosomal RNA". It matches the Rfam family "Bacterial small subunit ribosomal RNA", at positions 774 to 1060 of the family's 1533-position model. The record is from RNAcentral.